This 68-nucleotide transfer RNA is filed under the name Marmota monax (woodchuck). Its description in RNAcentral is "tRNA.Ala". Lineage: Eukaryota; Metazoa; Chordata; Mammalia; Rodentia; Sciuridae. The record is from RNAcentral.
GUUGUGGCUCAGUGGCAGAGCACUCGCCUAGCACAGGUGGGGCACUGGGUUCAAUCCUCAGCACCACA